RNAcentral lists this ribosomal RNA (422 nucleotides) under uncultured bacterium. Its description in RNAcentral is "bacterial SSU rRNA". It matches the Rfam family "Bacterial small subunit ribosomal RNA", at positions 355 to 774 of the family's 1533-position model. The record is from RNAcentral.
UAGGGAAUAUUGGGCAAUGCCCGCAAGGGUGACCCAGCAACGCCGCGUGGAGGAUGAAUGUCGUAAGAUUGUAAACUCCUGUUAGAGGGGAAGAAUAGUACCGGUUGGACCGGUAUAUGACUGUACCCUCAGAGAAAGCCCCGGCUAACUACGUGCCAGCAGCCGCGGUAAUACGUAGGGGGCAAGCGUUGUCCGGAUUUACUGGGUGUAAAGGGCGCGCAGGCGGGAUAAAAAGUCAGUGGUGAAAUCCUACAGCUUAACUGUAGAACUGCCUUUGAUACUUUUAUUCUUGAGUUCGGGAGAGAGAGACGGAAUUCCAGGUGUAGUGGUGAAAUACGUAGAUAUCUGGAAGAACACCAGUUGCGAAGGCGGUCUCUUGGUCCGACACUGACGCUGAGGCGCGAAAGCGUGGGGAGCAAACA